GGACAUAGUAUUUGGGUACAUUUUUAUUACGUAACCUGGUUAGGAAACACAGAAAGCUAAAUAUAAAAAAACCAAUGCAGGCGAAUUUUGAAGCCUGUUUCCAUGGUGACGUGAUGACUCGUUAGCGUUGUACCAGAGUGAGCUGCAGCCUAGCACUGCUGCUCGGGGAUAACCGGUUUUAACCCAUGUACCGUUAGCUGUGUGUAGCACUAAGGUAAUGUCUGAAGUAGAUGUUCGUGCGGCUGCUCCAUCAUGAUAACUUGCCAGUUAGACCCGUCGAUAAUCACCGUAAAGGGGCUAAUAUCCCGGGAAAGCUCGAACUGCGGGCAGCGCGGCCCUGAUGCGGUUGGAUAUCCGACAUACAGGAACUUGAGGAUGGGAGCAGGUGGAGGGCAAGCGUCUUUAAGGCAAAGUCAACCAAGGAAAUUUCCUGUUAUACAACCUUUGAGCAAGUCCAGGGACGCGAAACCUCAGCUGACUGGCUUCAUAAUUGGAGGGACGCCUACUUUAACCAAAGAUGACAAGCUGGAGUUGCAAAACACCAACCCAGAGAGGGAUCUCAGCGGGAGGCGCUUUCUGUUAGAUAGAAAAUGUGUGAUGUUAGAGAGGACCAAAACUGUGAUUCCUCCACUGCCAAGAGACUACCAUGUGCACAGACCUGGUAACCUCCCAUCCUUCAGCCUCUCCAAGGAGCUUUCCCACAGCCACACAGGGCGACCCUUCACCCUGGGGUACCCUGAAAGCUAUAAACUGAACACAAAUCCAGCCGUCCUCAUUCCCUCAGCUUUAGUCCUCAGUGGCAGAAACACCUUUUCGGUUGAGAACUGCAAGCUUGGCAGGCCCAAGGUGAAAUAUCCAUCCUCCAACGUAAUGACUGUUAAAAACAAUCAGAAAAGCCAGUCCUAUCCGGACCCAAUAGCUGGAGCCUCUCGCUCUUACAUCCACAGGAUAUCUGAGCUGUCCUCUCUGGAGGGCGAGACGGUGAGGCAGGAAAAGCUCAAGAAAAUGAGAAAACCUCGAAAGACUCCAUCCUGACAAUCACCUCCUUCCCAGUCACACUGGUCGAGGUUAAAAACAUUCGAGUCUGUGCCAACGACAGAACAGAAUAAACCACUUAGGGCGCCAUGUUCAUUUCAGUGGCUCGUUCUGACUGCUUGUUUGUCCUCUGUGAUAUUAGUUUGCUGCUUGGUAUGGCUGGUGGUUACAUUCUGGGAUUCUUAAUUACGUGUAGUACGGACUUGCAACAAUAAAUGCCGGUGAUGAAUAUUAGGUAAACAUUUUCCAGUCUGACGCACAGCUGUCAGCAGUUUUCCACCCAGCACCUGCAUGCAGGAUAUUUAAUUUAGCUUUCUAAUGGCUCUUGUAUAAUGCGGCCAUAUUUCUUUCUGUAUCAUCUGUAUCAUAUUUCAUACGGUGUCCAUCUUUGGCCUCAUCGUUACCACAGUGUUUCAGACAUACAGCAUAUCUAAGCUUUGUUAAGUAAGUGAAAUAUUGACAUAUAUAGUAAAUAGUUUAGCAAAGCCAUAAUUGUGCCUUGUUAACUGUCUUCCUGAAAUUAAAUAAAUUUAUUUUUGUUAUUUUGAGGACCUUCCUUCAUGUGUAUAGCUUUUUUUUCACCACAUAUGUGGACCGUCACACCACUUUUUGGUGCAAACACUACAUAUAGACCACUACAAUUAGCAAAAUAUGCAUUCCAUAUUUACGAAACAGACACAAAACUGUGCCCCCAGAUCCGAGAAUGUGGUGCUGUCCCACGCAACGCAGAGUUUUGCUGCUGAAUACUCUUGUUCAUUGUAUUUGACAGCAGCCAUGCAACUGUCUAUUUUUGUGUAGAGAGAAAUCUGGACGUGUGCAGAAAUAUGAGUCUUUUUUGAAUAGAUAUAAAAAGAACUGGUCCUUAUUCUACUUUCUACAGCCAUCUAUACUGGAUAAUUGUGCAGUAUUUGGCUACAUAUUUGAACCAUUAAUUCAUUACUUGAACUAUUUAUAAGUUUUGUCCCUUUGGUGGAAGUAAAGGUUGUGAAAAUAUCACAUCUGACGUCAUUUUAAAGUUUCUUUACAACCCUUUAAAAUUUAAUAAGAUUAAAUUUACUUGGCUCUGUGUGUAAAUAAAGACGGAACAAGAAAAGAAAGAAUUAAUGGCUGAAAUCGUUUUUCCACUAAUUGCUGAUGCGUGUUAUCACGCUGCUACAGCUCUCCUCUGCGUCACCCUGUGCCAAUCAGAAAGACGCAGGGGAAACAGCUGAGAUGAAGUUCUGUCGCUGAGAUCAUUUAGUGCUGAAAGUGACAGAUGAAGGCUUCUACGUAGUCUGAUAUACAUUUAAGAGAGUUUUUGUUUCAGUUAUUGUUUUUUUUUUCUCUUUUUGGCAUUUCUGCUGGAUUAAACAAAGCAGCAAGGGAGAGGAGAAGAAGCCAUCAUCAAGGAUAUCAGUCAGUAUGCGCGCUCUGAAACUCAACUGUCAACUGUGUUUAAUUUCAGGGAGUGUGUGCCUAAGCUCCCUAUUAAAUAGCACUGAGAUGUUGUCAAACGUCAGGCUCUGUUUGCGUCCCUCCCUCCGCCGGGAUUGUGAGGUGUGCAUUUCAGGGGCACACAGUGACCUAGAAACACAGAGCCAUCCCCUUAUUCAUACCAAGGGAAGGGGGUGCAUGAAUGCCCAAAUGGAGGCCGGGGCUCCCUCUUCUUGCAGGGUUUUUAGCGUCCCUUUCAAGUGUAGUGAAACAAAAUGACCUGGAACAAACAGUCAACAAUGAGGUCUUUAAUAGGAGCUGUUCUGGGGCCUGCCCACAAGUGGUUUAUCGUUUCACUGUAGUUCCACGGGAACCUUGAACAAACGAGACAGUGCUGAAUUAAAAGUUCAACUGUCUCUUAAGUCAAGGAUCCGAUAAUGACGAAAACGCCAAUUCAUUUUAUCUCAC
Astatotilapia calliptera (eastern happy) is the source of this 2916-nucleotide long non-coding RNA. The record is from Ensembl. NCBI's taxonomy places the organism in Eukaryota, Metazoa, Chordata, Actinopteri, Cichliformes, Cichlidae.